UACGUAGGGGCCGAGCGUUGUCCGGAGUUACUGGGCGUAAAGCGCGCGUAGGCGGACCUGCAAGUCGGGGGUGAAAGCCCGAGGCUCAACCUCGGAACUGCCUUCGAUACUGCGGGUCUCGAGUCCGGGAGAGGUGAGUGGAAUUCCUAGUGUAGAGGUGAAAUUCGUAGAUAUUAGGAAGAACACCAGUGGCGAAGGCGGCUCACUGGCCCGGUACUGACGCUGAGGCGCGAAAGCGUGGGGAGCAAACAGG
Molecule: ribosomal RNA, 253 nt
Filed under: uncultured bacterium
Lineage: Bacteria
Description: partial 16S ribosomal RNA
Rfam family: Bacterial small subunit ribosomal RNA
Source: RNAcentral